RNAcentral lists this ribosomal RNA (253 nucleotides) under uncultured bacterium. RNAcentral describes it as "partial 16S ribosomal RNA". It matches the Rfam family "Bacterial small subunit ribosomal RNA", at positions 524 to 776 of the family's 1533-position model. The record is from RNAcentral.
UACGGGGGGAGCAAGCGUUGUUCGGAUUUACUGGGCGUAAAGGGCGCGUAGGCGGCGUGACAAGUCACUUGUGAAAUCUCCGGGCUUAACUCGGAACGGUCAAGUGAUACUGUCGUGCUAGAGUACAGAAGGGGCAACUGGAAUUCUCGGUGUAGCGGUGAAAUGCGUAGAUAUCGAGAGGAACACCUGCGGCGAAGGCGGGUAGCUGGGCCGACACUGACGCUGAGGCGCGAAAGCCAGGGGAGCGAACGGG